UGGCUUAGUUGGUAAAGAAUCUGCCUGCAAUGCAGGAGACCUGGGUUCAAUCCCAG
RNAcentral lists this transfer RNA (56 nucleotides) under Capra hircus (goat). It matches the Rfam family "tRNA", at positions 8 to 63 of the family's 71-position model. From Rfam's summary of the family: Transfer RNA (tRNA) molecules are approximately 80 nucleotides in length. Their secondary structure includes four short double-helical elements and three loops (D, anti-codon, and T loops). The record is from Rfam by way of RNAcentral. Lineage: Eukaryota; Metazoa; Chordata; Mammalia; Artiodactyla; Bovidae. RNAcentral also lists the same sequence under 1 other name.